This 223-nucleotide ribosomal RNA is filed under the name uncultured bacterium. RNAcentral's name for it is "partial 16S ribosomal RNA". It matches the Rfam family "Bacterial small subunit ribosomal RNA", at positions 524 to 746 of the family's 1533-position model. The record is from RNAcentral.
UACGUAGGUGGCAAGCGUUGUCCGGAAUUACUGGGCGUAAGCGAACGCAGCGGAUGGUUAAGUAAAGAAGUGAAAGGUCGGAGCUCAACUCCAACACUAGCUUCUUAUACUGGCCGUCUUGAGUCCGGAGAGGAAAGCGGAACUCGCACGUGUAGCGGUGAAAUGCGUUGAUAUGUGCAGGAACACCAAUGGCGAAGGCAGCUUUCUGGACGAGGACUGAUCG